Notolabrus celidotus (New Zealand spotty) is the source of this 879-nucleotide long non-coding RNA. RefSeq lists it as uncharacterized. The record is from RefSeq and is a predicted model, not a curated record. The transcript has 5 exons. NCBI's taxonomy places the organism in Eukaryota, Metazoa, Chordata, Actinopteri, Labriformes, Labridae.
AGAAAACUCGCGCAGGUGUUCUGACUGAAAGGAAAUGUAAUGAAACACGCUUACCUGACCGACACAUGAGCAGCAAACAGAGAGCAGCCGUCUCCAAAGAGAACAGGUGGUUUCCUCCCAUUUUUCCCUCUGGCUGUAAGAAGUCCAACUUCACCGGAGAGCAUGGAGGUGUUCCCGUCCGCUGCCUCAACGUUACCUGGAAACCGGGCUGUGUGAGCAAACUCUGUCAUCUUCGCGGCUGGGAGGCAUAUCAGGACAACUUCAGCACCACUCUGCUUGGUGAAUGCUGCAUGCAGGGCCUGUGAUGAGACCUCCAGCCUGUUAGCGAUGUCUCCUGCCGCACGGAGCAUGUCUUCAAAGGCCAAGGACUCCUCUCGGAUUCUGCACCGGAAACACAAAAGACCCAGGCUCAUCACCAGCAGCCUGCGAUGUGUCAUUGAUGGUUAUCUCAGACAGGAUGUCAAAGCCUGAUCCCCAGUCUCCACUCUGGCAGAGCGUGUGGCCUGCCAUAGACACCCAGGCCAGGAUGAAGGCCAUCCAACACCGUCCCAUGGUGACCUGAAGGAGGAAAGUGGAGGAACUCUACCAUUCACAAAAAAUGUGCGGUGGAUGCUGAGGCGGUUUGAGAAGCACCACCGAGCUGAUUCUCCUGGCAUGUGUUGUGAUUUUCAAACCAGAGCAGCGUGCAGUGAUGACGGAUUAAUGAUACCGUGCAGAGCUGAGUUGCUACGGUCUGUGACGGUGUUGAAACGUUGUCUUAAGACAUGUUUAGUUUUUACCUCUUUCUACAAACUAGUUAAACUUUAAAACUAACACUUCCUUUUAUACUUACAGCUGUAAAAAAAAUAUUAAAGCAAUAUGUUUUAAGUACUCUUCAAA